This 519-nucleotide ribosomal RNA is filed under the name uncultured bacterium. RNAcentral describes it as "bacterial SSU rRNA". It matches the Rfam family "Bacterial small subunit ribosomal RNA", at positions 28 to 526 of the family's 1533-position model. The record is from RNAcentral.
GAUGAACGCUAGCGACAGGCUUAACACAUGCAAGUCGAACGAAGCAUAUGGACGGAAGUUUUCGGAUGGAAGACCAUAUGACUGAGUGGCGGACGGGUGAGUAACGCGUGGGUAACCUGCCUCAUACAGGGGGAUAACAGUGAGAAAUUGCUGCUAAUACCGCAUAAGCGCACAGGACCGCAUGGUCCGGUGUGAAAAACUCCGGUGGUAUGAGAUGGACCCGCGUCUGAUUAGCUAGUUGGUAAGGUAAGGGCUUACCAAGGCGACGAUCAGUAGCCGGCCUGAGAGGGCGACCGGCCACACUGGGACUGAGACACGGCCCAGACUCCUACGGGAGGCAGCAGUGAGGAAUAUUGGUCAAUGGGCGAGAGCCUGAACCAGCCAAGUAGCGUGAGGGAUGACUGCCCUAUGGGUUGUAAACUUCUUUUAUAUGGGAAUAAAUGACAUUACGUGUAGUGUUUUGUAUGUACCAUUAUGAAUAAGCAUCGGCUAACUCCGUGCCAGCAGCCGCCGUAAUAC